Molecule: ribosomal RNA, 497 nt
Filed under: uncultured bacterium
Lineage: Bacteria
Description: partial 16S ribosomal RNA
Rfam family: Bacterial small subunit ribosomal RNA
Source: RNAcentral
GAUGAACGCUGGCGGCGUGCCUAAUACAUGCAAGUCGAGCGAACAGACGUGGAGCUUGCUCCUCUGACGUUAGCGGCGGACGGGUGAGUAACACGUGGAUAACCUACCUAUAAGACUGGGAUAACUUCGGGAAACCGGAGCUAAUACCGGAUAAUAUAUUGAACCGCAUGGUUCAAUAGUGAAAGACGGUUUUGCUGUCACUUAUAGAUGGAUCCGCGCCGCAUUAGCUAGUUGGUAAGGUAACGGCUUACCAAGGCAACGAUGCGUAGCCGACCUGAGAGGGGGAUCGGCCACACUGGAACUGAGACACGGUCCAGACUCCUACGGGAGGCAGCAGUAGGGAAUCUUCCGCAAUGGGCGAAAGCCUGACGGAGCAACGCCGCGUGAGUGAUGAAGGUCUUCGGAUCGUAAAACUCUGUUAUUAGGGAAGAACAAAUGUGUAAGUAACUAUGCACGUCUUGACGGUACCUAAUCAGAAAGCCACGGCUAACUACGUG